Molecule: ribosomal RNA, 371 nt
Filed under: uncultured soil bacterium
Lineage: Bacteria
Description: bacterial SSU rRNA
Rfam family: Bacterial small subunit ribosomal RNA
Source: RNAcentral
AGAACGAACGCUGGCGGCAUGCCUAAUACAUGCAAGUCGAACGAACUCUUCGGAGUUAGUGGCGCACGGGUGCGUAACGCGUGGGAAUCUGCCCUUGGGUUCGGAAUAACAGUUGGAAACGACUGCUAAUACCGGAUGAUGACGAAAGUCCAAAGAUUUAUCGCCCAGGGAUGAGCCCGCGUAGGAUUAGCUAGUUGGUGAGGUAAAGGCUCACCAAGGCGACGAUCCUUAGCUGGUCUGAGAGGAUGAUCAGCCACGCUGGGACUGAGACACGGCCCAGACUCCUACGGGAGGCAGCAGUAGGGAAUAUUGGACAAUGGGCGAAAGCCUAGAUCCAGCAAUGCCGCGUGAGUGAUGAAGGCCUUAGGGUU